AAAAAAAAAAACCAAAGGCUCUAGAUUUUUAGAUUACUGUGAUUUUGACAGCUAAAAUCCGAUUACCUAGCAAGUUGGAAUCAAGUACCUGCAACCUAGACACAAAUCCUAUCAGACUUUCCCAACAUCCAUGGGAAAUAAAUGAGCUAUAAAGAAAUAAAGAGACGAGGAAUGACAUUAGAAUAGAAAAGUAGGGCCAAACUGAAACGAAAGGUAGGGAGACCAAACACACAGUUUUUUCUUUUUUUAUAUCCUUGGGAGAUCCCUUGAUCAAGAAUAGCGUUUUUUUGGAAGAGGCUCCAUCACACAAGAAUUAUCUACACAAGCUAUAUCCACGGUUGCAACUAGAACUCGACCACCCACUGUCUUGACUCAAAAGUCUUUUACCACUUGUACUGGCCCUUGUGGAUUACCAAAUACACAUUUUUCUACUGAAUAAUUGCUCCUAUUUGCUUAAAAUUGAUUAGA
Long non-coding RNA from Populus euphratica (Euphrates poplar), 468 nucleotides. RefSeq lists it as uncharacterized. Lineage: Eukaryota; Viridiplantae; Streptophyta; Magnoliopsida; Malpighiales; Salicaceae. The transcript is spliced from 2 exons. The record is from RefSeq and is a predicted model, not a curated record.